UAUAAAUCGAUCAAUCAAAGCACAACCAUGGUGGCUCUCCUGCGCUCCUUUACAUCCCACGCUGCUCUCUGCUGCACCAAAGAAUUUCACCGGCCCUACUGAUUUUUUCGCUGUUUGCCGGUAAUGGCCGCUGCCACCGCUGUUAGACCUAUUCUCCGGUCUGCUGCCAUUCGGAAUGCGACGGCGAGGUUCGCCUCGAAGACCUCCGGUGCUCGCUCUCCGUGUCUGAUUCCCAAGCUUGGCUCCACCACUCCUCGAUUUCUAAGGUCUUCGGUGGUAAGUUGUCUCUGUUUGGAGUCGGUUCUCCCAAUGCACAGCGCGACAUCAUCAGCACUUAUGAUCUCUUUGCUGUCUAUUUCCACCCAUGACAUUGGGUUCCUCUCGAAAGGACAAGAUGAUACUAGAUGAUGGCGAAGACUGCAAAGGUGUUUUACUUUCUUAUGUUCUAUUAGUUCCAUCAGUAAAUAUGGAUAUGCCAAUGAUGACGUGUAAUGUGCUGUGGUUGGAGUGCCUUGCAUUGUGUCCUGCUUUUUGGAAAAUGUCAGCUAUGCUUCAUUCAUAUGCUGCUGAGGUUUUAAAAUUGUUUUAAAAACAUUUUCAGAUAUGACAAUUUAUUUCUUCUCAUAUUUAGUUUAGAUGGUGCUUUAAACCGCUAUUAUGCAUCUGCUUUGGUACGAUUGCUUCAACCAGAUUUAACAUCUA
This is an RNA transcript of Phalaenopsis equestris, 702 nucleotides long. It is a transcript of the gene named protein NUCLEAR FUSION DEFECTIVE 6, chloroplastic/mitochondrial-like, with no coding region annotated. The transcript is spliced from 4 exons. NCBI's taxonomy places the organism in Eukaryota, Viridiplantae, Streptophyta, Magnoliopsida, Asparagales, Orchidaceae. The record is from RefSeq and is a predicted model, not a curated record.